CCUGGCUCAGGACGAACGCUGGCGGCGUGCUUAACACAUGCAAGUCGAACGGUGAUGUCAGAGCUUGCUCUGGCGGAUCAGUGGCGAACGGGUGAGUAACACGUGAGUAACCUGCCCCCGACUCUGGGAUAACUGCUAGAAAUGGUAGCUAAUACCGGAUAUGACGAUUGGCCGCAUGGUCUGGUCGUGGAAAGAAUUUCGGUUGGGGAUGGACUCGCGGCCUAUCAGGUUGUUGGUGAGGUAAUGGCUCACCAAGCCUACGACGGGUAGCCGGCCUGAGAGGGUGACCGGCCACACUGGGACUGAGACACGGCCCAGACUCCUACGGGAGGCAGCAGUGGGGAAUAUUGCACAAUGGGCGAAAGCCUGAUGCAGCAACGCCGCGUGAGGGAUGACGGCCUUCGGGUUGUAAACCUCUUUUAGUAGGGAAGAAGCGAAAGUGAC
RNAcentral lists this ribosomal RNA (444 nucleotides) under Clavibacter sepedonicus. RNAcentral describes it as "bacterial SSU rRNA". It matches the Rfam family "Bacterial small subunit ribosomal RNA", at positions 18 to 473 of the family's 1533-position model. RNAcentral also lists the same sequence under 1 other name. Lineage: Bacteria; Bacillati; Actinomycetota; Actinomycetes; Micrococcales; Microbacteriaceae. The record is from RNAcentral.